GAACAAGCAAACAUUCAAACACUCACUCCUGGUUUUCCUUCAGAUUGAAUUUUUUUUUUUUUUCCAAGGACAAAAAACUUGUCCUUGGAACCAUUUCCAAGGACAAGAUAGACCUUAGUUUGAAAGAAAAAAAUAUUUUAAAGUUUAUGCUAUAGCAUCUAGAAGAGCGGUCCCCCACCUUUUUAUCACCUUGGACCGGUUAAGGCUUGACAACGGCCCGGGGGUGGUGGGGUGAUGAACUGUCAGACAAGGUUUUUGCAUGUUGGUGUGCCCGCUAAAGCAGGGCUGAGCAAUCCUGGCCCUCAAGGGCCGGUGUCCUGCAACUCUUAAGAUCCAACACACUUCAAUCAAAUAAAUGACUCACCUUCUAAGUGCAGUCAGGUUCUCCAGAGUCCUGCUAAUGACCUCAUUAUUUGACUCAGGUGUGUUGAAGUAGAGACACACCUAAAAGUUGCAGGAGACCGGCCCUCGAGGCCUGGAGUUGCCCACCCUUGCGCUAAAGCCUAGUUCACAUGGCACAAUUUUAAAUUUUUUGCCCCGAUUUUCCCCUUUCGACAAUAUUAGAACCUUCCGAUUUCUAAGAUUGUCAACUCGCUUGCGAUACCGAUCAUCCUGCCUGUGUGGUGUGCUACAACUGAUUGGAUUCAAUCAGUAGAACGUCGAACCACUCAAAUCAAAAAUUUAACAGGGGUGCAGUGUGUUGGUGAAGAAUAAGUUUUCCAUCUCGUUGGCCUCCCUAACACAGGUUAUAACAGCCAGACCUCCUGUUUGAAAAGAAGCGUGUUACCUAAUAUAUAUGAGGUAUGUGUCUUAACUUUACAUUUUCUUUGCGAAAAAAACAUUGACUAUGUUUUUCUUUGUUUGUAAUGUUUACUAAGAGCAAUUCAAGCUAAUGCUACCUUGCUGUAAGUUAAUGUUAGUUAAAGUUAUUAAACUUCAUUACUGUAAGGUUAACCUUUAACUUUCAAUGUAUUUUAAACGCAGGCAAAUAGAUUUUUUCCCUCCAAUUUUAAUCGAGCAAAUUAAAAGCUACUAUGUUAGUCAAAGUUAUAUUUAUUUAGCAACUUGGCUGAUGUGACAUAGUGCUUGUGUUCUUUGCUUUGCUGACUUUAGCCACAUGAAGACCCAUUUUAGCCUAAGGACAUGGUGGGGGUGGAAGAAAGAAUGCUAAUGAAGACAUGCUACAGGUGUGGACGGUGCUAAUGAGGACCAGCCAUGAGAGAAAGAAAUCCCUGUUUGACCAAAGAGGAAGAAGCAGAUGAAAUAUUUCCCAAGAAAAUUAGUGACCUCAGUGGAUUGAGUCAUCACCCACUAUGAGAAUGUCCAGGAGAGAUUCACCAAGUUUGAAUUCAUGAAAAAGCUUUCACCAUGAUUAACACUGAUCACAACCAUUUCAAGAACAGCUACAAUUUCUGAGCAUUUCCAGACACUUUCAAAGAGCUGCUCCUAGGAAAUGAAGA
Molecule: long non-coding RNA, 1460 nt
Organism: Xiphophorus couchianus (Monterrey platyfish)
Lineage: Eukaryota; Metazoa; Chordata; Actinopteri; Cyprinodontiformes; Poeciliidae
Exons: 2
Source: RefSeq, a predicted model, not a curated record